Molecule: long non-coding RNA, 416 nt
Organism: Pseudomyrmex gracilis
Lineage: Eukaryota; Metazoa; Arthropoda; Insecta; Hymenoptera; Formicidae
Exons: 3
Source: RefSeq, a predicted model, not a curated record
GUACGGGAGAAGCUAACAUAACAGCAUAUAUUAAAUCAUAUACAUAACUUGUACUUGUACAAGUGCGUAGUGAGUGCCGAUACCGGUUUCUUAUGAUCUCUACGCGUCUUCACCACAAAAUCGUAUUACUUAGUGUAAAGCAGAAAGAAAACGUUAAAAGUUUUGUGUUGCCUCAUCUUUUAUUUCUGUCUGGAUUUUCUUUGCAUAGAAUAAAGAAACAGUAAAAAGAUUACUCUCCUCUCGAUAGAGGUAAAAAGUGUAAAUAUACAGCAGAAAGGAAAAGUAAUUGUGCUGCCUCAUCUUUGAUUCCUGUCCCUUUGGAUUUACUUUGCGUAGCAUUUAGAAACAGAACAUAGAGAGAUUACUCUCCUCUCGACACAGCUAAAAAGCAUAAAGUAAGUAUGAUACUUACUACU